GAUGAACGCUAGCGGCAGGCUUAAUACAUGCAAGUCGAACGGCAGCACGGGUGCUUGCACCUGGUGGCGAGUGGCGAACGGGUGAGUAAUGCACCGGAACGUAUCCAAUAAUGGGGGAUAACGCACCGAAAGGUGUGCUAAUACCGCAUACGCCCUGAGGGGGAAAGCGGGGGAUCGUAAGACCUCGCGUUAAUGGAGCGGCCGAUGCCGGAUUAGCUAGUUGGUGAGGUAAAGGCUUACCAAGGCGACGAUCCGUAGCUGGUCUGAGAGGAUGAUCAGCCACACUGGGACUGAGACACGGCCCAGACUCCUACGGGAGGCAGCAGUGGGGAAUUUUGGACAAUGGGGGCAACCCUGAUCCAGCCAUGCCGCGUGAGUGAAGAAGGCCU
This 389-nucleotide ribosomal RNA is filed under the name uncultured bacterium. Its description in RNAcentral is "bacterial SSU rRNA". It matches the Rfam family "Bacterial small subunit ribosomal RNA", at positions 28 to 417 of the family's 1533-position model. The record is from RNAcentral.